RNAcentral lists this long non-coding RNA (210 nucleotides) under Vigna radiata. Its description in RNAcentral is "long non-coding RNA (VRAD_LNC013745)". The record is from RNAcentral. Lineage: Eukaryota; Viridiplantae; Streptophyta; Magnoliopsida; Fabales; Fabaceae.
GAAAACAUAGCAUCAUCAUCGUUUUUUCACUCCCUCACUCUAUCUCAUACUACCCCAAAUUGAUUCACCCCUCACUCGAACCUCCAUCUCAACUCAAAUAUAACAUCAUCAGAAAUAUUCACACCCAGCCAAACAGAAUAGGUCGCCGGAGAAGACGGGUUGAUGAGGGUGGUGAGAGUGGUAGUGACUAGCAGCUUCGCCGGCGGUAAC